This 253-nucleotide ribosomal RNA is filed under the name uncultured bacterium. Its description in RNAcentral is "partial 16S ribosomal RNA". It matches the Rfam family "Bacterial small subunit ribosomal RNA", at positions 524 to 776 of the family's 1533-position model. The record is from RNAcentral.
UACGUAGGGUGCAAGCGUUGUCCGGAAUUAUUGGGCGUAAAGAGCUCGUAGGCGGUUUGACGCGUCGGCUGUGAAAACCCGAGGCUCAACCUCGGGCCUGCAGUCGAUACGGGCAGACUAGAGUUCGGUAGGGGAGACUGGAAUUCCUGGUGUAGCGGUGAAAUGCGCAGAUAUCAGGAGGAACACCGGUGGCGAAGGCGGGUCUCUGGGCCGAAACUGACGCUGAGGAGCGAAAGCGUGGGGAGCGAACAGG